Molecule: long non-coding RNA, 730 nt
Organism: Neofelis nebulosa (Clouded leopard)
Lineage: Eukaryota; Metazoa; Chordata; Mammalia; Carnivora; Felidae
Exons: 2
Source: RefSeq, a predicted model, not a curated record
UGCACAUCAUUGAGAUAUUGUGAAGACGGAGAGCUGUUAUUUCUGGGUGAUUUUCUUACCUUGAUUAAACUUGCAUUGCAAUCUCAGAUUAUCAAAUCUCUCUGCAGAUCAGCUAUAAACUGGCAUGGUCCAGAAUCCCAGGCAUGUAGCAUCUCCUCACAGGACCUUGUUUGCUACUCCGAAAUUCUUGGACUGAAUGUGGGUUUCUGGAAACCAAGUAAUGUAAAUAGCCCUUCAGUAGGAAGAGGCAAAACCUGCAGGCUGUUCUCCCUGGGUCAAGUGCAGAGAAGCCAGGUCUCAUCCAUUCUUGGCACUCAAAGACCCACUGAUGUGCCUUAGGAGCACACCCCACAGGUCAGAAGCUCUGGAGUUCCCUGCUGAAUCAUGAAGUCCUGUGGGACCAUCCCUUCUUCUUCAUGGCUGCCAGUCACCUCCUCCCAGAACACCUUAUUGUGAAGAGGGUCCAUUGGGAAGGUGUCUUCUUGCUGUUGUCCUCUAGUGGCUGGACAAGAUGGGGAUGGCCUCCUGGAGCUAAGACAAAGGUAGACACUCCAACUGCCCAGGAUGUGGGAGGCAAUUGAAUGGGGUGCAGGAGUUCCUCCCAGAUCCCUAGACCCUGUGAAGAGCAUAUGGAUUAGAAGAUGCACAACUUGAAUCUAAAGGAUUUUUUUGAACAGUCUUCUGGAUGUUGAGUCUGUGCCUGGUGAGCUAAAAUAAACCAUGCUACCUA